RNAcentral lists this ribosomal RNA (253 nucleotides) under uncultured bacterium. Its description in RNAcentral is "partial 16S ribosomal RNA". It matches the Rfam family "Bacterial small subunit ribosomal RNA", at positions 524 to 776 of the family's 1533-position model. The record is from RNAcentral.
UACGGAGGGUGCGAGCGUUGUCCGGAAUCACUGGGCGUAAAGGGCGCGUAGGCGGCCUUCUAAGUCGAACGUGAAAUCCCCGGGCUCAACCCGGGAACUGCGUCCGAUACUGGAAGGCUUGAAUCCGGGAGAGGGAUGCGGAAUUCCAGGUGUAGCGGUGAAAUGCGUAGAUAUCUGGAGGAACACCGGUGGCGAAGGCGGCAUCCUGGACCGGCAUUGACGCUGAGGCGCGAAAGCCAGGGGAGCAAACGGG